Molecule: small nuclear RNA, 138 nt
Organism: Erinaceus europaeus (western European hedgehog)
Lineage: Eukaryota; Metazoa; Chordata; Mammalia; Eulipotyphla; Erinaceidae
Gene: U4
Rfam family: U4 spliceosomal RNA
About the family: U4 small nuclear RNA (U4 snRNA) is a component of the major U2-dependent spliceosome.
Source: Ensembl
AGCUUUGUGCAGUGGCAGUAACAUAGCCAAUGAGGUUUGUCCGAGGCGUGGUUAUUGCUAAUUGAAAAUUUGUAAGUGUAAGAUGGAUAAUUUUCUAUAGCUCACCCAUCAGUUACUGUUAAAAUAUUCUUGAGAGAA